GUCGGCGUAGUCCAAUUGGUACGAGACCACUGGCCCAAACCCAGCGAGUUACCGGUUCGAAUCCGGUCGCCGAUA
This 75-nucleotide transfer RNA is filed under the name Spirochaetes bacterium GWB1_59_5. RNAcentral's name for it is "tRNA-Leu". It matches the Rfam family "tRNA". Rfam says of the family: Transfer RNA (tRNA) molecules are approximately 80 nucleotides in length. Their secondary structure includes four short double-helical elements and three loops (D, anti-codon, and T loops). Lineage: Bacteria; Pseudomonadati; Spirochaetota. The record is from RNAcentral.